GACGAACGCUGGCGGCGUGCUUAACACAUGCAAGUCGAACGAAGAGCGAUGGAAGCUUGCUUCUAUCAAUCUUAGUGGCGAACGGGUGAGUAACGCGUAAUCAACCUGCCCUUCAGAGGGGGACAACAGUUGGAAACGACUGCUAAUACCGCAUACGAUCUAAUCUCGGCAUCGAGGAUAGAUGAAAGGUGGCCUCUACAUGUAAGCUAUCACUGAAGGAGGGGAUUGCGUCUGAUUAGCUAGUUGGAGGGGUAACGGCCCACCAAGGCGAUGAUCAGUAGCCGGUCUGAGAGGAUGAACGGCCACAUUGGGACUGAGACACGGCCCAGACUCCUACGGGAGGGAGCAGUGGGGAAUCUUCCGCAAUGGAGGAAAGGCUGACGGAGCAACGCCGCGGGAGUGAUGACGGCCUUCGGGUUGUAAAGCUCUGUUAAUCGGGACGAAAGACCUUCUUGCGAACAGUUAGAAGGAUUGACGGUACCGGAAUAGAAAGCCACGGCUAACUACGUG
RNAcentral lists this ribosomal RNA (510 nucleotides) under uncultured bacterium. Its description in RNAcentral is "partial 16S ribosomal RNA". It matches the Rfam family "Bacterial small subunit ribosomal RNA", at positions 28 to 507 of the family's 1533-position model. The record is from RNAcentral.